UGGGGAAUAUUGGACAAUGGGCGCAAGCCUGAUCCAGCCAUGCCGCGUGAGUGAUGAAGGCCUUAGGGUUGUAAAGCUCUUUCACCCGUGACGAUAAUGACGGUAACGGGAGAAGAAGCCCCGGCUAACUUCGUGCCAGCAGCCGCGGUAAUACGAAGGGGGCUAGCGUUGUUCGGAAUCACUGGGCGUAAAGCGCACGUAGGCGGAUUGAUAAGUCAGGGGUGAAAUCCCGGGGCUCAACCUCGGCACUGCCUUUGAUACUGUCAGUCUUGAGUUCGGGAGAGGUGAGUGGAACUCCGAGUGUAGAGGUGAAAUUCGUAGAUAUUCGGAAGAACACCAGUGGCGAAGGCGGCUCACUGGCCCGAUACUGACGCUGAGGUGCGAAAGCGUGGGGAGCAAA
Molecule: ribosomal RNA, 400 nt
Filed under: uncultured bacterium
Lineage: Bacteria
Description: bacterial SSU rRNA
Rfam family: Bacterial small subunit ribosomal RNA
Source: RNAcentral